This 2574-nucleotide long non-coding RNA is filed under the name Sus scrofa (pig). RNAcentral's name for it is "lncRNA (ENSSSCG00065049004.1)". The record is from RNAcentral. Lineage: Eukaryota; Metazoa; Chordata; Mammalia; Artiodactyla; Suidae.
UACUAAUAGUUUUCUAUUAAACAGUAGGUUAUAUUGGUCCAUUCAUUCAUGUACUAAAAUAUUUUCUCAGUAUCUUCUGUUUCAAGCACUAUGCUAGAUUCUAUUGAGAAGGCAGUGAGCAGAAGAAGCACAAAACUUUUUCUUAAAAUGCUAAUAGCAGGACAGUCAGACAGAUAAGCAAUAACAAACUGUGCUAAGUAGUAGAGGAGUCCUGUGGGAGUAGGUAACUGCAGCCCUGUGUUAUUAUUAUUAAGUGUAGCCUCAAUUAAGCUUGGUAGCAAAUUAACCCAGAAAUCUCAAUGAUUUAUCACACAAGGAAUUUUUCACACAAGUAAUGUCCAGUUUCUGUCAGGCACUGUUCCUCCAUCUUGCAGAAACAUGUGGCUUCUUCAGGUGUCAUGACAGAGAAAGUAGGAGGUAGAGAAUUGGACAUGUUUAUUAAAGACAGUCCUGUAAGUGGUUUACAUCCUUCUCCCCCACAUCUUACUGACCAGAAACUAACCACAUUCCCCCAACCUUACUGGAAGGCAUGCUAGAAAAUGCAGAGGGAGGUACAUUUGACUAUUUGUUGAGCACAAACUCUACCACUGGUCUUUACCACAAUUGGACAAUUUAGAAAAGGAUUCCCCGGAAGCCAUGGCAUUUGACUGAAACCUGAAAAAUAAGUAGUUAGACCAGAAGAGAUGGAUUAUCUCAGGUAGAAAUAAUCUUGUACCAAUGUUUAGAAGAAAGAGAAGGAUGGCACUUCAAAGAAUUGAAGUUGAGUUCAUUAUUUGAACUUUGAAUGUAAGGGGAAGGCAGGUAGGGAUACAGUCUUGAAGGACUUUAAAAGCCAUUUUAAGGUAUUUAAAAAUUGUUCUUAAGGCAAGGAGAAGCCAUUGGAAGGUUUAUAGCAUGAUAAAGUUUGAGUAAGGUGAGUAGAAUAAUGUAAUAAAGUAAUGUAAAGAAGAAUAGAAAAGAAAUAGAUUGAGGAGAUAUUUAAGAGGUAUAGUUAAUAGACUUGUGGUUGCCAAGGGGGAAGGGGAGGGAGUGGGAGGGACUGGGCGCUUGGGGUAAAUAGAUGCAGAAUGUUGCAUUUGGGAUGGAUUGGCAAUGGGAUCUUGCUGUAUAGCCCUGGGAACUCUGUCUAGUCACUUAUGAUGGAACACUUAAUGUGAGAAAAAAUAAAUGUAUACAUGUAUGUGUAACUGGGUCACCAUGCUGUACAGUAGAAAAAAUAUAUAUAUAAAUAAAUUAUUUACAAAAGGGGACAAACAAACAAGACAUCAAAGUGUUGCUGUCUAAACAAGAUUUAAAACAUGGGUCUGGAGAUCAGAGGAGAGAUCUGAGCAGAAGACACAGAUUUAGGAUUUAUCAGGAUAUAGAUCAUAACUGAAACCACAAAGAGUAGAUGAGUUUGUACAGGGUAAAUGCAUACUGUAAGGAGGAAAGAGGGCCUUUGGCAGAGGUUCUUAACUUUCACAAUGUAUCUGAAUUACCUAUUGAGCUUUCUAAAACUAUGUACCUAGGCCCCACUCUCCAGGGAUUAUGAUUCAUUUGGUCUUUGUGUGUCCUAAGAUAUCCUGUGCUUCAGAAGCUCCCACAGUGAUUCAGCCAAGGUUGAGAAUCAUUGAUGAUGAGAAAGAAGGAACACUGUCUGGUGUCUCCAAGGUGAAGAAGAACCUGAAUCAAAAGCUUCUGAGAAGUAAUGAAAAAUAAUAAUCAAAAAGUGUCAUUGGUGAACCCUUCCAUAACUCAGCUGUGGAGCGGAAGACUGUAGAGUCAAAUGUAUGAUCAAAAACUGUCAUUGAAUUUGCCAAUAUGAAUAUGAAUUAAUGAUUUAAAUUAAUGGUCAUGGAAGCCUAGUUGCGGUAAUUGAGUAGUAAGUGGGAGAUAGGGAAAAGAAGAUAGUUGAUGUCUCCACUCUUUCAUGGAGUUUGAUUAUAAAAAUAGAUAAACAAAUGAAGGAGAAAAAAGGGCACCAGCUGGAGAGAACAUGAGUUUAGAAAAGAGCUCUUUUAUAAUGGGAGAGACUUGAACAUGUUUAUCUGCUAAAGGCCCUAGAGAGACCGAACAGAUCAGCAACAGACCUGAUAAACACGCAAGAGGAGUGAGACUGAAAAACCAGAGUACAAAAAGAGAAAUAACUUUCUAUUCUAAGAGGAGGGAAGAAAGAAUUCAUUUGUAGCAAUGGUGGUACAAAACUGGUGUGUUGCAUUCUCAUCUCAUCUAAGAGCAAUGAUUUUUUUUUUUUCUGUUAAACACCACUUUAUAUGAUCUACUAGGAGUGAGGGAAGAGAUGGUGAGGACAGUUUUUACAGAAAUGAUGAGUGUUUGAAACAAUCACUGUGGAGGAUGAGUGAGCUAAAGAGGAAAAGCUAAUAGGAUAACCAGGCAUCGCUGAGGCCCAGAUUGAGGAUGCUGAGCAAGGAUUUACGGUGGCCACUAUCUGCAGAGCUUUAUAUUCUGUAAUUUUUCUCUUGAAGCCUCCAGGAUCCCAGGUACAAUGGAAGGACAAUAGGGCAAGGGAAUUGACUAUAUUGACAGGGGAGUGGUUUAAGUGAUGUACAGUGCAAUAAAAGCAGACUAGGGAAG